RNAcentral lists this ribosomal RNA (520 nucleotides) under uncultured bacterium. RNAcentral's name for it is "partial 16S ribosomal RNA". It matches the Rfam family "Bacterial small subunit ribosomal RNA", at positions 28 to 523 of the family's 1533-position model. The record is from RNAcentral.
GACGAACGCUGGCGGCGUGCUUAACACAUGCAAGUCGAACGGACUACUUUGCUUCGGUAAGGUGGUUAGUGGCGAACGGGUGAGUAACGCGUAGACAACCUACCUCUUAGAUGGGGACAACAUCGCGAAAGCGGUGCUAAUACCGAAUGAAGUGACUUUCCUGCAUGGGAGAGAUACUAAAGGUGGCCUCUAUUUAUAAGCUACCACUGAGAGAUGGGUCUGCGUCGGAUUAGCUAGUUGGCGGGGUAAUGGCCCACCAAGGCGACGAUCAGUAGCCGGUCUGAGAGGAUGAACGGCCACAUUGGGACUGAGACACGGCCCAAACUCCUACGGGAGGCAGCAGUGGGGAAUCUUCCGCAAUGGACGAAAGUCUGACGGAGCAACGCCGCGUGAGUGAAGAAGGUUUUCGGAUCGUAAAGCUCUGUUGUUUGAGACGAAUGUGCCUGUUUCAAAUAGGGAUAGGUAAUGACGGUAUUAAACGAGAAAGCCACGGCUAACUACGUGCCAGCAGCCGCGGUAA